Long non-coding RNA from Hemicordylus capensis (graceful crag lizard), 850 nucleotides. RefSeq lists it as uncharacterized. The transcript has 4 exons. The record is from RefSeq and is a predicted model, not a curated record. NCBI's taxonomy places the organism in Eukaryota, Metazoa, Chordata, Lepidosauria, Squamata, Cordylidae.
GCAAGGGCAACAGAGCCCUGUUAGGGCCCUGGAUCCUGUGGGGGAAGGGAGGUAGGAUCCUGCUUUCCCCCCAGCCCCGAAGGUCAUGUGAACAACAUUAUAAGAUACAAAAUCAGGGACAAUUUUAGUAGACGCCUUCAAAGUGUCCUGCCUCAUACGCUUUCUGUUUACAUUAUUUACAUACAAUUUUUCUGUUUACAUCAUUAAAUUACAUAGCUGAAAACUAAAGGCAGUAUAGAAGUUGAAUAAAUAAAUAAAUCUGUUUUCUGUGGAAAUGUUAUGUUUAUCUUUCAGAGCAAGUGAGUGAGGCCUGAAAAUGAUAUGCUUUUUUUUUUAAUAAACUAUAUAUUAGGGCUACGCAAAGACUUCCUUCAUCGCAUCAGGCCUUGACUGUGAGCUAGCUCAGACAUUCAGUUUACAGACUUCCCCGUUCUCACCUGUAAGGCAGCCUAUCGGGCAUAUUUUAAUAUCCCAAAAGGUUCACCUUAGAGCAUAUAAAAAAAGACUUACCCACCUUCAGUGGAGCCCACUAAGAAUCUACUCGAGUGAGAAGCAAACUAGACAUGACUACAGUAGAUCCAGCUAUCUCAGAACUGGAUCACUGAGAGUCUGCUGAAUUCUUCUUACUGCAUGGAACCCCGCAGGCCUAACCAUGAGAGAAGUCACAGUUUGAUGAACAAAUACCCUGAUCCAGCAAGGGGCUAUAUGCUCAUGACUCUGAAAACUGCCGCCAAAUGUAUUUUCCGGGUCUGCAUUACUUCCAACGCUUUGUUGUAGUGACUCCGGAGCUGAUCUGAAACUGCCCAAGGGAUCAGCAUUGGCAUCUCUGGUAUGUCUGCGAGGUUCUGGU